Molecule: long non-coding RNA, 500 nt
Organism: Equus quagga
Lineage: Eukaryota; Metazoa; Chordata; Mammalia; Perissodactyla; Equidae
Exons: 3
Source: RefSeq, a predicted model, not a curated record
UUGGCUGGAGUGUGGCAGAGGAUCGGUCUAAGGUCCCUUCAAAUUCCAAGAUUCUGCAGUUCUAUGAAACGGCUUCCUUCUGAGGCUGCUGGCACAACAGAGUGGGUAGGCUGGUUGCAUUUGGUGUCAUACAGGACUGGAUUCAAACUCCUACCCUGCCAUUCACUACUGCCUGUAUGAACUUGAGUCUAAAACCAUAAACAAACGAACCAACAAAAAACCUUCAAAAUGUGUGGAAAGAGCUUGCACACCCUUUACAGAUCAUAUUUUUAGUAAUUAACAAAUGAACAAUGAGAAGACAACAGCAAUCAAAGAGGAGAUGAUACCAUCCCUUCCUUACAUAACAUUCCAGGAAUUUGUGCUGAUUUCAACAUGGAAGUCUGUCUGUGUACCUCAAAGCAAGGGAGGCCUGCCCCACCUUUCUUCAGUUCAUCUUUACGCUCUCGUUAUUGGCUCAGAAGUAUUACUAUGAAAAGUGAGAAACACGCAUCUAAUCCACA